CGCGUAGGCUGUUGAGUAAGUCAAAUGUGAAAUCCCCGGGCUUAACCUGGGAACUGCAUUCGAUACUGCUUAACUAGAGUAUGGUAGAGGGAAGUGGAAUUCCGGGUGUAGCGGUGAAAAGCGUAGAUAUCCGGAGGAACACCAGUGGCGAAGGCGACUUCCUGGGCCAAUACUGACGCUGAGGUGCGAAAGCGUGGGGAGCAAACA
Molecule: ribosomal RNA, 207 nt
Filed under: uncultured bacterium
Lineage: Bacteria
Description: partial 16S ribosomal RNA
Rfam family: Bacterial small subunit ribosomal RNA
Source: RNAcentral